AGUAAACGCUGGCGGUAGGCCUAACACAUGCAAGUCGAACGGCAGCACAGUAAGAGCUUGCUCUUACGGGUGGCGAGUGGCGGACGGGUGAGGAAUACAUCGGAAUCUACUUUUUCGUGGGGGAUAACGUAGGGAAACUUACGCUAAUACCGCAUACGACCUACGGGUGAAAGCAGGGGAUCUUCGGACCUUGCGCGAUUGAAUGAGCCGAUGUCGGAUUAGCUAGUUGGCGGGGUAAAGGCCCACCAAGGCGACGAUCCGUAGCUGGUCUGAGAGGAUGAUCAGCCACACGGGAACUGAGACACGGUCCAGACUCCUACGGGAGGCAGCAGUGGGGAAUAUUGGACAAUGGGCGCAAGCCUGAUCCAGCCAUACCGCGUGGGUGAAGAAGGCCUUCGGGUUGUAAAGCCCUUUUGUUGGGAAAGAAAAGCAGCAGGUUAAUACCCCGCUGUUCUGACGGUACCCAAAGAAUAAGCACCGGCUAACUUCGUG
RNAcentral lists this ribosomal RNA (492 nucleotides) under uncultured bacterium. RNAcentral describes it as "partial 16S ribosomal RNA". It matches the Rfam family "Bacterial small subunit ribosomal RNA", at positions 29 to 507 of the family's 1533-position model. The record is from RNAcentral.